CCUUGGGCCUGGCUGGCCGGUCCGCCUCACCGCGUGUACUGGUCCGGCCGGGCCUUUCCCUCUGUGGAACCCCAUGCCCUUCACUGGGUGUGGCGGGGAAACAGGACUUUUACUGUGAAAAAAUUAGAGUGCUCCAGGCAGGCCUAUGCUCGAAUACAUUAGCAUGGAAUAAUAGAAUAGGACGUGUGGUUCUAUUUUGUUGGUUUCUAGGACCGCCGUAAUGAUUAAUAGGGACAGUCGGGGGCAUCAGUAUUCAAUUGUCAGAGGUGAAAUUCUUGGAUUUAUUGAAGACUAACUACUGCGAAAGCAUUUGCCAAGGAUGUUUUCAUUAAUCAGGAACGAAAGUUAGGGGAUCGAAGACGAUCAGAUACCGUCGUAGUCUUAACCAUAAACUAUGCCGACUAGGGAUCGGACGGUGUUAUUUUUUGACCCGUUCGGCACCUUACGAGAAAUCAAAGUGCUUGGGCUCCAGGGGGAGUAUGGUCGCAAGGCUGAAACUUAAAGAAAUUGACGGAAGGGCACCACCAGGGGUGGAGCCUGCGGCUUAA
Molecule: ribosomal RNA, 548 nt
Filed under: Fusarium subglutinans
Lineage: Eukaryota; Fungi; Ascomycota; Sordariomycetes; Hypocreales; Nectriaceae
Description: SSU rRNA
Rfam family: Eukaryotic small subunit ribosomal RNA
Source: RNAcentral